UCCUGGUGUAAGGAGUGAACCACCUGACAAACUGCCUGCCCACCCAAGUCACCUCAUCAGGCACCUCCGCCCCAUCUGUGGGAGUCUGUAGAUCUCACAUCGGCCUCAUCAGCCACAUUAGGACCCACAGAGCCCGAGCAGAAGCAAGUCAUCUCAACGUGAAGGGCAGCCUGUAGAAAGGAAGGUGGACAUUAGUAACUUUUAAUGGUGAUCAACUACUAACAAGGGGAGACUGUGAAGACCAGUUCCCCAAAAGAUAUACUGACAGGUGUGGUGAGAAAUGAUGGGAGGAGAGAUUCUGGGGCGAAGGAAUGCUUGUACAUGAUGUAGCUCAAGUUCCCAGUUUCUACAGGAACAAUCUUAACUGGGACAGCUGUGGAGGAUGGGGGUAUCACAGCAUGGACAAGGUCAGAUGAAAGGGCCCAUUUCUAGGCUGUGUGAUUCUGUGAACCACUGUGUAAAAAACUUUCCCUUCAAAUGAGGAAGCAGAGGGUUAAGAAAU
Molecule: long non-coding RNA, 502 nt
Organism: Pristis pectinata (smalltooth sawfish)
Lineage: Eukaryota; Metazoa; Chordata; Chondrichthyes; Rhinopristiformes; Pristidae
Exons: 3
Source: RefSeq, a predicted model, not a curated record